AAUCAUCUCUCCACAAAAACUUCUCUCUUGGGUUUGCUCUACGGCACCAUCAUAAAUUCUAGGGAUUUGGGCGGUGUGCAGCGAUCGACUCUAGUAGCCGGAUUGCAACGAGUAAGAACAACGUGCAACAAACUAGAGCCGGAUUGCAACGAGUAAGAACAACGUGCAACAAAUUGAGACAGGACGUUGGUGGAUCAACGAGUUCGUAAAACAAGACGAGAUCAGAUCCUGAUAAUCACAACAUUAAUUCCGCACCAUAAAGAGGUAUAUAAAAAUCUAUGUGAUAUUUGUAACGAUUGAUUUUUGGGUAUUUAAUUAAUUUUAUCCAACAGGUAUCAGAGCUUGCGGGAUCUGCCCGCUCUGGGCUUGGAAGGAUCGCCAGUGCAGGGCCUGCAGGGGCCCGCAUACACAGGGCCUGUGGCCUUGUGUUGCCGCCCGCGCUGGGCUUGCUGGGCGGCCCGCCCUGGAUGGACCUGCGGGCUUCCUGGCUAGCCCCCUCGCACCAAGCUUUGUGGACUGGGCCUGUAAGGCUCUCUAAGUCCACGUCAUAUUGGCCCAAGCCGACCUCAACCCGUGGGCUUGCAUGAUUUUAUAAAAGAGAAUUAUAUAUAUAUAUAUAUAUAUAGAAGUAAUAUAAUAUAAUAGAUUCUUAUCCAUCACCAACUAACAAAGUUCCUUAAUGACAAAUCUAUGCAUCAUCUUUCAUUUAACAUAUAUGCAUAUGAUAUGCAAUCGUUCAAUUAUUAUAUAUUGUUUCUUGCUAUGAUACAUGUGAUGAUAUUUUUCAAGUUGCAAUGUGUUAUUACAUAAUGUUCAUUAUUUAUUUUGUGACGUGGAUUUAUUCUUAAUUAAUUUGAUAUAUUAUUUUUAUCUGUAUUGGAUGAGAUGAUUAUUAGUCUUUUUCAAAAGUGAAAUUUUCGAUUUGAAGAUGCAGUGAGAAAUUUUAUUAUCAAAUUAGAUUAAGAAUAAUAUUGUGGAUAUUUGUGCCUAAUUUAAAAUUAUGUGCAUUAUUGUAGUGAUAAAUGGCUUCCAAAAAUUUUUCUAUCGCGGAUUCGUUAAAUCAAAAUAAGCUUGAUGGAGCAAAUUAUAACAUGUGGCAUAGAAAAAUUCAAUAUCUCCUUAAUGAGAAAGGGAUACUUAGCCAUUUAACCAACAGUAUGUUUCAGCCUGAAGAAGGCACGACGGCUCAGCACCGUCGCGAUUUGCAAGCCUAUAACGAGUGGCUUGAGAAAGAUCGAAGUGCACAAUAUACCAUGUUGAGUUGUAUGCACGAUGAUUUGAUCAAAGAAUUUGAGAAUUAUGAGACUGCUAAAAAUAUGUGGGAGCAGCUCAAAGUGAAAUACGGGGGCACAUCGACUACAAGACUUCGUGCCUUGAAUCUCAAAUUCAAUCAAUACUUGUUGGACCCGAAGCAUUCUAUGGCAGAGCACUUAAGGGUGAUGUCUGCUAUGAUAAGAGGACUUAAAGCAGCCGGUUGUGAGCUCACUGAUGAACAGCAGGUUCAAUCAGUUAUAAGAUCCUUACCAGAUUCAUCUUGGGAUCAAAUCAAGGUUGUGCUAACUCAUAAUGAAGGUAUCAAGACCUUCAACGAUGUAACUCGACAUCUUGAGUUGGAAGCGGAGCGCAGAGAGGCGAACCGUGCCAAUGCACUCGUUGCCCACGGUGGACAGUGCAGAGGCAAGUGGCCUAAGCACAAGCGCCGAAAUGGAGAAAAUAAAUAUGCAAAAACUGGAAACUGCGCGCCGAAUGAGGGCAGAAUUGAGAAGCGCCGCAAAGGCAGGCGCGGAAAGAAAAAUUUAAAUAAAGUGAAAUGCUAGAACUGUGGAAACAUGGGACACUUCGCUCGUGAUUGCACUGAGCUGAAGAAGGUAAAUCCCAAUCCUGACUCUCUUAUUUAUGUAUGCUUGCACGUUUUUGUUGCUCACGCUUUCUCUGAUUGGAUUGUAGACACAGGAGCAACAAAGCAUGUAACGAGAGAUCGAGCAGGAUAUGUGGAUUAUCGUUGGGUGUCUGCUAGUAGCCAUUAUGUCAUGAUGGAAAACGGCAGUGAGGAAGAAGUCCUUGGAAUUGGCACAUACCAACUUAGAUUGCGCAAUGGUCGUUAUUUGAUAUUACAUGAUGUGCUGUAUGCACCGAACAUCCGAUGUAAUCUACUAUCAGUUUUAGCGUUACUUAGAUUAGGUUUUUCUUUUCAAUUUACGGAUACUCAGUUAGCUAUUUAUUUGGGCAAGGACUUUUAUGGUAAUAGUUGUUUAAAGAAUGAUUUCUUUGUCUUAGAUUUGGACUUGGAUUUUAUUAAUCAUAACAAUAAUUCUACUUUAUUAGUUUCUUCUGAUAUUGUAUCUGAUUCUAUCAAAUGGCAUGCGAGAUUGGGUCACAUUGGACAAGAAAGAAUGGCUCGACUAGCUAGAGAAGGCCUGUUGGGGUCACUCGCUAAGCUUAGCCUACCUCCUUGUGAACCAUGUUUAGUAGGAAAAGCCUGCAAAAAGCCUUUUGGUAAGGCGCGUAGAGUAACUCAUCCAUUGGAGCUAGUUCAUUCAGACAUAUGCGGACCUAUGAAUGUGAGAGCACGUCAUGGCGCGUACUAUUUCCUCACUUUCAUUGAUGACUACUCCCGUUAUAGUUCGGUAUAUCUGUUGUCUCACCGUUUAGAAGCUUUAGAUUAUUUUAAACGCUUCUUAGUGGAGGUUGAGAACCAAACAGAAAGAACUCUAAAAGUUCUACGUACUGAUAGAGGACGAGAGUAUUUAUCAGACCAGUUCAGGGAACUAUGUGAGGAAAAGGGAAUACGCAGAUAGUUAACUAUUUCCGGUACUCCGCAACAAAAUGGUGUUGCAGAGAGGAGGAAUAGGACACUUUUGGAAAUGGUUAGGUCAAUGAUGGCGUAAGCCAACCUCCCAAUUAGUUUUUGGGGUGAUGCAUUAUUGACUGCUGCCUAUAUACUUAACCGAGUGUCCUCUAAGUCAGUUCCUUCAACUCUCUAUGAGUUAUGACAUGGAAUAAAGCCAAAUUUGGAAGGCUUACGACCAUGGGGAUCGGCAGGAUAUGUGCAUAAUACUUCCCAUAAAUAUGAAAAGUUAGGCCCUAGAGCAAAUAAACAAAUUUUUAUUAGAUAUUCUGAUUGCUCAAAGGCUAUGUGAUGUAUGGCAAGCAUCCAGAUGGAGGAAUGAUUGAGAUAGAGUCGCGCGAUGUGGAUUUUCUUGAGAAUAAUUUUUCAGACAUUGGUGAGAUUAAAAAGGAUCUUGCACUAUAUGAGUUGCAAGAACCUAAUGAAAAUGUCCCAUUGUUAGGCGAGAAUGAGGCACUGAGGCCACAUGAUGAUAUAACCCAAAACAGUGGGAGUGAUCCUAUAGUUAGUGGGAAUGUGCCGAUUGACCAUGGCUCACAAAGUCCAUCAUUACGAAGAAGUAAACGUGGAGGUGUUUCCCGUCGUCGAUUUGAGAUCGAAGGGGAAUCGUUCAUGUGUGCUUCUACGGAUGUUGAUGAGCCAGCUUCUUAUGCUGAAGCUAUAGUUCACCAGUUUGUGAUAAAUGGCUAGCUGCUAUGGAGGAUGAGAUGAGUUCUAUGGCUAAGAAUAAUGUGUGGGAGUUAGUUGAUCUUCCGUUUGGAUGAAAAACUAUUGGAAAUAAAUGGAUCUUUAAAAUAAAACGUAAAGCGGAUGGAUCAAUUGACAAAUAUAAGGCUCGACUAGUGGCUAAAGGAUACACCUAAAAGGAGGGAGUAGACUAUGAAGAGACAUUCUUCCCAGUGGUGAGGUUUGUCUUAAUUCACCUAAUUCUGGCUAUCGUCGCACAUUCAGAUUUGGAAUUGUUUCAAAUGGAUGUGAAGACUCCAUUUCUCAAUGGAGAACUAGACGAGGAGAUUUAUAUGAAUCAACCUCCUGGUUUUAUAGCCGAAGGACAAGAGUGCAAAGUCUGCCGCUUGAAACGUUCCAUUUACGGCUUGAAACAAUCGUCUAGGCAAUGGUAUCAACGUUUUCAUAGAGCAAUUAUAUCAAUAGGCUUUGUGAUGAUCGAAGAAGACCAUUGCGUGUACGUUAAAAGGGAAGAAAAAAAUUUUCUUAUUCUUUCACUAUAUGUAGACGAUAUCUUGUUAGCUGGAAAUAAUAUGGAGUUAAUAAUCACCACACAGAAGUGGUUGUCCUCUACUUUUGAGAUGAAGGAUAUGGGACAGGCGGAUUAUGUAUUGGGAGUCAAGAUCCAUAGGAAUUAAUCUCGAAAAUUCUUAAGUUUGUCUCAAGAGACUUACAUUAAAAGGAUUUUGGAGCGAUUCUGAAUGCAUAAUUCGAAACCCAUUGACACUCCAAUGGAAAAGGUCAUUAUCUUAGCCUUGAACAAUGCCCUAAAAGAGAAGAAAAGAGAAAGCAGAUGGAAAAAGUCCCAUAUGCGAGUGCAGUCGGCAGCUUGAUGUAUGCAAUGAUGUGUACUCGGCCGGACAUAUGUUUCGCUAGUCGUUAUCAGAGUAAUCCUGGAGCAGCACAUUGGCAUGAGUUGACUCUUAUCUUGUAAUUUUGCGAAUAAAUAUUUUUGACAUCCUUUUUCAUUCAUAAACAUGUUUAUUAAAUUUUAAAUUAGUGCACAAUAUCCUUGUGAGAAUGAAUGUCACCAGGCCUUUGAUCAGCCCUCUCACACGGGUGAUCGCCCUGUCACUAGAAGAGCGAGCAGGAUGAGACAAAUAAGAUCACAUAAAUGCAGUUAGUAAUGCAGGUGAUCCACUUUGCGCUAUAAGAGCUGGCGAGUGUUUAAAUCUUGAAUGUCGCCUUAGAUGAGCUAAGAUAGGACUGUACAAAGUCGACAGUAGAGAUGGUCCACGACUCUACUCGGUCUGUAUGAAGCCGAAUGUAAAAAAAACACCAUGUGGGUGAUUGUCUUGAGGUUUGUUGUGUUGAGUUACAACAAAACCGACAUUCGUAUGGUGUUUUGAGCGUGACAUGUCCUUAGAGGUAGCUCCACCAUAGCAUACGUUCAUACCGUAUGUGCAAGAUCGAUCACUAUGUUUUAGAGAGUGACGAAAUUGAUUCCCGUUUCAUCGUUGUGUGAGCUUUUGUACCCUUUGGGACUUAGAACCAUGUUAUGAAGUGGAUACUUGAUGAUGCUACUUUAGCAUGAUAUCCAAGGGCCAUGAUUGAUUCGGUCCAGCGGAACAUGUCUAGGAAAGCAGUCAAGUUGAAAUGGAUUGACAUGAGGCAUCUAAGGAAAAAUUAUUUGAUAAUACACCUAUGAUUUGUUACUCAUUGCCCGGGCGAUUAUGUUGAUAUUUGUUGUCAAUAUAAUCAUGAGAACAAAUACAUUAAUAAGAGAGAUCUAGUUUGCUCUAAGGGAUCAGAGAUGCUAUGAUCUGGUGUAGUUCAGUGAUUUGGGGUAUAGACGAGAUUUGGAGUUGUAGUGUUAUGUUAGUUCGGAUGGUGGCUUAAUAUAACACUCUUCACUUAUGAUUCUUCUCAUUAUUGAUCGCACCAACCAUUUCCCGUAUGAAGAGCAGAACGGGAUGAGAAUAUAUUUGGGAUAAGAAAGUAUGAAUAAGUACCAAGUGUGUACGAGUGGGAGAUGUUAGGAUUCGUCCACAUUGGGACUUAUCUAAAAUAUUUCUAAUCCAUAUGGGAUAAGAAAUAAAUAUUUAUAAUUAUUUGUUAUAUUCCUAGUCCACUUGGGAUAAAAAAUAAAUCUAACAGAUAAAUCCUAAUCUGUUUAAAUCUCUAUCUAUAUGAGAUUUAGUUAGAAUAUGAUUAGAAUUAAUAUCUUCUUUAUGGCCUAUAAAUACAUGAGGUAUCAACCAUAUACGAUAUAAGAAAGACAAAUAAAAAAAAGGAAUCAUCUCUCCACAAAAACUUCUCUCUUGGGUUCGCUCUAGGGCACCAUCAUAAACCCUAGGGAUUUGGGCGGUGUGCGGCGAUCGACUCUAGUAGCCGGAUUGCAACGAGUAAGAACAACGUGCAACAAAUUGAGACAGGACGUUGACGGAUCAACAAGUUCGUAAAACAAGACGAGAUCAGAUCCUGAUAAUCACAACAUUAAUUC
This 6017-nucleotide long non-coding RNA is filed under the name Ananas comosus (pineapple). RNAcentral describes it as "long non-coding RNA (ACOM_LNC009929)". The record is from RNAcentral. Lineage: Eukaryota; Viridiplantae; Streptophyta; Magnoliopsida; Poales; Bromeliaceae.